AACGUCUCUCAGAGCAGCUCUGAUUGGCUGAUCAGCAGCUUUGGACGUUUCUCUGUUUUCACCACAAUCACUGACCUGCAGACGCUCAACCCCAGCUUCAAUGUGUUGGACACUCUGAAUCUGUUGAGCCUGAGGCAGUUAGUGAAGGUUUCCAGCACUCCUGGAUUCCUGACCAGCGCUGCUGCGGUUAAUAAUCUGCUGCUCUACGUGCCGGACGCUCAAUUCACAUCGUUCUUCACAUUCCUCUCCGCUACGCUACAGAUGCAGGGCAUUGUUCUCCCUCCUCCUGUGCAGGAGGCGUUUCUGCAGCAGGUGUUUGACAGGGCCAAUCUGACCACGAUAUCAGACGCUGAUCUGCAGAUGUGGAUUCUGAACAUACUGCCUUCCUUCUUAUCCAACAUUACAGUCCAACACGUGACGUCCUACUUCAGUGUCGUCCUGAAGCGACCCUGUCCCAUCAGCCAGCAAGCGGUGCAGCUGUUGAACUCGUCCAGCUCCACCUUCCAGCUGGCGACACAAGAUCAGAUCUACCAGCUGAUCCUCGGCUCUCUCACAGGCCCCACCCCACUGCGCUGCUAUGGUAACCAGAGCUACUACGCUUUCCUGACCUCCUCCUUCAUGAGUUUCCAGUUCCCCAAUCUGACCACCUUCCUGUCGCUGAUGCCGCCGGCUCGCGUGCCAGAGCUGAUGGAGUCGGUGUCUCCAGCGGAGGUCAGCAGUCUCCUGAAUCGGCCCAACGCUGUGGACGAUGUUGCCCAAAUCUGCCGGCUUUUCAGAAUUUACCCAAAGACGCCCCAGUACUUACAG
This 807-nucleotide long non-coding RNA is filed under the name Sinocyclocheilus anshuiensis. RNAcentral's name for it is "lncRNA (ENSSANG00000039536.1)". The record is from RNAcentral. Lineage: Eukaryota; Metazoa; Chordata; Actinopteri; Cypriniformes; Cyprinidae.